Molecule: long non-coding RNA, 399 nt
Organism: Mirounga angustirostris (Northern elephant seal)
Lineage: Eukaryota; Metazoa; Chordata; Mammalia; Carnivora; Phocidae
Exons: 4
Source: RefSeq, a predicted model, not a curated record
UGCCCCAAUAGUUAACAUUUGUUGAACACUUGCUGUACAUCAGGAGCUGCAGAACCAUUAUUUUUACAGAGAAGAGACUGAAGGUCACGAAGUCACUUUUCAUAUCACAGACUUCUCCAAAUGUCACCUCCAGGAUGCUCUAGAAGAAUGAAGGCUGUAUCUUCAGAUUACACUGAGAGAAAGACCGAAAAGUCCGGAUCUUGGAAUACUAAAGUUCAUGCUGGACUGUCUUGGACCAUUUCAGACAUGUAAUUGCCACACACUGAUUGGACUUAAAAGAUUUUUAAAGUUUUCUUAGCAAGACGUUUAUGAGCCAUCUCUCAGGAUGCUAGGAUGAUUAGCAUUGGAGAAAUAAAUGUUGAAAAGUUGAAUGCCGGGGCGCCUGGGUGGCUCAGUCGU